GCAGUGGUGGUUCAGUGGUAGAAUUCUCGCCUUUGCUGCAGGAGACCCAGGUUCGAUUCCUGGCCAAUGCA
Trichechus manatus latirostris (Florida manatee) is the source of this 71-nucleotide non-coding RNA. The record is from the annotation of a RefSeq genome assembly. Lineage: Eukaryota; Metazoa; Chordata; Mammalia; Sirenia; Trichechidae.